Non-coding RNA from Myotis brandtii (Brandt's bat), 75 nucleotides. Lineage: Eukaryota; Metazoa; Chordata; Mammalia; Chiroptera; Vespertilionidae. The record is from Rfam.
GAAAGUUCUUGGGUGAUGCAUCCUGGAAUCAGUCUCCCUCCUCUCCGGUUCCGGGUGCAUCACCCAAGAACCGCA